CAUCUAAUAUAUUUUUAUUAUUUUAUUAAAAAUUUAUUUUAAUCAAAAUUUAAAUUAAUUAAAAUAUAUAAAAUAAAUUUUGAUGCAUGUUAAUGGCUACGGAUAUGAUUAAGCAAAUAGAUUACAACAAUUUAAUCAUAGCUCGUAUUGUAACGCCACUCCGUCUCCUCGCUUGCAGUGGCAUCAACAAUCCAACGCUAAAAAAUCCGACUCCGGCGGUGGAAUCCCGAGUCCAACUCUUAGG
Molecule: long non-coding RNA, 244 nt
Filed under: Elaeis guineensis (African oil palm)
Lineage: Eukaryota; Viridiplantae; Streptophyta; Magnoliopsida; Arecales; Arecaceae
Description: long non-coding RNA (EGUI_LNC005085)
Source: RNAcentral